CUACGGAGGGUGCAAGCGUUAUUCGGAAUCACUGGGCGUAAAGGACGCGUAGGCGGGUUGGCAAGUCAGAUGUGAAAUCCUACAGCUUAACUGUAGAACUGCAUUUGAAACUGCUAACCUAGAGUAUGGGAGGGGGAGAUGGAAUUAGUGGUGUAGGGGUAAAAUCCGCAGAUAUCACUAGGAAUACCAAAAGCGAAGGCGAUCUCCUGGAACAUAACUGACGCUAAGGCGUGAAAGCGUGGGGAGCAAACAGGAUUAGAAACCCUAGUAGUCC
This 274-nucleotide ribosomal RNA is filed under the name uncultured bacterium. RNAcentral describes it as "partial 16S ribosomal RNA". It matches the Rfam family "Bacterial small subunit ribosomal RNA", at positions 523 to 796 of the family's 1533-position model. The record is from RNAcentral.